RNA transcript from Choloepus didactylus (southern two-toed sloth), 2326 nucleotides. It is a transcript of the gene named phospholipid scramblase family member 5, with no coding region annotated. The record is from RefSeq and is a predicted model, not a curated record. The transcript is spliced from 9 exons. NCBI's taxonomy places the organism in Eukaryota, Metazoa, Chordata, Mammalia, Pilosa, Megalonychidae.
ACACAGCAUUCUAGAAACAGCAAGGCAUUCCCUUCCUCUGUUAUUUGUAAGCUGACAUGAGAUAGACGAACACCUUCUGAAGUUUUAUGCAUACUGUGUUUCCUCUCCUUGCUGCAACAAGAAAAGCCCUUUCUUUUAACCUGGCUGCCUUUGAAGAACUGACUCAUCUUCAUGGCCUCUAAAGAUGCACAGAAUCAGAGAGGUAGAAGUCUGCCUGGCUUUCUUCCCGGUGCUCUAGAACCAGAUCAAAGCCUUCAUACGUCAACUUCCAAUCCAGGGAACCAAGUAUGGCAGCCAGGUCUCUCUCCACCAGGCACUUUCGUGCCAACAGUGAGUCUCCCUCCUGGUCUGGAGUAUUUAAGCCAGUUAGACCUGAUAAUUAUACACCAGCAGGUGGAACUUCUUGGAAUGAUACUUGGCACUGAGACCUCCAACAAAUACGAGAUUAAAAACAGCUUGGGACAAAGAAUUUACUUUGCAGUGGAGGAAAGCAUCUGCUUCAAUCGUACUUUCUGUUCCACACUGCGAUCUUGCACCCUGAGGAUCGCGGAUAACUCAGGUCGAGAGGUGAUGACAGUAAACAGGCCCUUGAGGUGUAACACAUGCUGGUGCCCUUGCUACCUACAAGAGUUAGAAAUCCAAGCCCCUCCUGGCACUAUAGUUGGUUAUGUUGCACAGAAGUGGGAUCCAUUCCUGCCUAAAUUUGCAAUCCAAAAUGCAAACAAAGAAGAUAUUUUGAAAAUUGUUGGUCCUUGUGCAACAUGUGGCUGUUUUGGUGAUGUGGACUUUGAGGUGAAAACCAUUAAUGAAAAGCUUACAAUUGGGAAGAUUUCAAAGUACUGGUCAGGAUUUGUGAACGACGUCUUCACAAAUGCUGACAACUUUGGAAUUCACGUUCCUGCUGAUCUAGAUGCGACAGUCAAAGCAGCAAUGAUUGGUGCUUGUUUCCUCUUUGAUUUUAUGUUCUUUGAACAUUCACUGGCUGGAUUAUAACAAGCAAGAUGACGAAAAUAAAAUAUGCGGAACUUAUUUCAAAAUCCCUUGGGCUCAGGAUUUCAUUUCUGAAUGGGAGGGUGGGAACUUUAUAUUCUCAACACUAUGAAGAAAAAUAAUUCAGGAUAAAGAAACAGAAAGAAAUUGGAGGUGUUUUUACAUUUGAGCAGAGACCCCACCACCACCACCACCACCAAAUAAGGAAGCAAGUCAAAGAACAUUUACUGAGAAUUCUAAGAAGAUGGAAAAACAAGUGCAAAGUCUCUGAGUAAAGAGCAGGCUGGGCAAAUUUAGGGAACACAGGAAGUCUGUGUGACAGGAUUAUAGUGAGCAAGAGGGAGAAGGGUAUAAGUUGCAAGAGGAAGGUGGCUAGUGACUAGACCAUACAGCGUUUUGUAAGUCAUGGCAAGGAAGGGGAAUUAAAAUCUGGCACUUGAUUGGACAUGGACAUUAAGGUGUAUUAAGAACUCAAGAAUAACUCCUCAGUUUCUGUCUAGUGCCAGUGUCUGUUGCAGGAAUCUGAAAGUAUGGCAACACCAAAACACGUGCAAUUCAGAAUUACAGAUGCCAUGAUAAAAGAAUGUACAUGAAGGCAUGAAAGAGUAAGACUUCAACGCCAUUUAUGGUGGGUGGAUAGAAACUUUAGAGGGGAGGUAUCCUUCCCACUCCAUAAUAUCCUGAACAAAGAAGACUAAAACUGAUUACAUAAAGCACCCAUACUCCUCUACAAAACAGACAUUUUGGUACAUGAUUUGAAGACUCAGGUUACAGCCUAAACAAUGUAGAUAGCACUUCAAUGAAAUUCUGAUGCAUUUGAGCCUUAAAUAGAAGUUUAUAUACACAUAUAAUAAUUUUUUAUUAUCAGGAAGAGAAAAAACAGAAAAGGAAAUAAACUUUCAAGACCACAAUUUCCUCUUAUUCUUGUGUUUUUUGUUCUACGUCAUAAUCUCUCUAAUUGUUAAUUACGGGAAGAGGAAAAUAUUGUUUAUGAUAUUUUGACAUUCUCAUACUCAGAAAUAAAUUUAAAAAAUUUAAUUUUGUUUUUUAAUCUCUCCUUAUAUUUAUGCUUUGAAAUAUGUGAAUUAUCUUAGAAGGAAAAGUCUUUUGAAUAAAAAUUCUCUAAAUGCAAAUGGAUUUUCUUACACUAUGAGAUUUUUGCCAUAAAGGAGCCAGCUGGCUUAAGAUGAUCCAAAGUGCACAGAUGUUAAACACUUACUAGUUCAACAAUACCACCACCUAUCUCAAGAAUAACAGAACAAUAACCUUUUAAAAAAGUAUAGAACUUGAUUUACCAUAGUGACCCUUCAAUCAAUGUGUUUUUCUUUUUCAUCAU